Molecule: ribosomal RNA, 372 nt
Filed under: Triticum aestivum (bread wheat)
Lineage: Eukaryota; Viridiplantae; Streptophyta; Magnoliopsida; Poales; Poaceae
Description: partial small subunit ribosomal RNA
Source: RNAcentral
AUGACGCGGCUAGCUAAGAUGGAUUUAAUCCCGAGUUUCAUUUUAGCCAAAGGCUCUAAGUGCCAUGCGUGUGUGCAAGCUAAGCAACCUCGUAAGCCUCACAAGCGUGCGAAGGAGAGACACCUGGCACCUUUAGAGCUCAUACAUUCAGAUCUCUGUGAGAUGAAUGGUGUGUUGACUAAAGGUGGAAAGAAAUACUUCAUGACUCUGAUUGAUGAUUCCACUAGAUUCUGCUAUGUGUAUUUGUUAAAUACUAAGGAUGAGGCUCUACACUACUUUAAAGUCUAUAAGGCUGAAGUUGAGAACCAACUUGAGAAGAAAAUAAAACGAGUCCGGUCUGAUCGUGGUGGAGAUACUCCCUAUGAGCAAUAG